This 468-nucleotide ribosomal RNA is filed under the name uncultured bacterium. RNAcentral's name for it is "partial 16S ribosomal RNA". It matches the Rfam family "Bacterial small subunit ribosomal RNA", at positions 28 to 507 of the family's 1533-position model. The record is from RNAcentral.
GACGAACGCUGGCGGCGUGCUUAACACAUGCAAGUCGAACGGAGAGGCCCUGCUUUUGUGGGGUGCUCGAGUGGCGAACGGGUGGGUAACACGUGAGUAACCUGCCCUUGACUUUGGGAUAACUUCAGGAAACUGGGGCUAAUACCGGAUAGGAGCUCCUGCUGCAUGGUGGGGGUUGGAAAGUUUCGGCGGUUGGGGAUAGACUCGCGGCUUAUCAGCUUGUUGGUGGGGUAGUGGCUUACCAAGGCUUUGACGGGUAGCCGGCCUGAGAGGGUGACCGGCCACAUUGGGACUGAGAUACGGCCCAGACUCCUACGGGAGGCAGCAGUGGGGAAUAUUGCACAAUGGGCGGAAGCCUGAUGCAGCAACGCCGCGUGCGGGAUGACGGCCUUCGGGUUGUAAACCGCUUUCGCCUGUGACGAAGCGUGAGUGACGGUAAUGGGUAAAGAAGCACCGGCUAACUACGUG